RNA transcript from Drosophila novamexicana, 1848 nucleotides. It is a transcript of the gene named intraflagellar transport protein 52 homolog, with no coding region annotated. The transcript is spliced from 6 exons. Lineage: Eukaryota; Metazoa; Arthropoda; Insecta; Diptera; Drosophilidae. The record is from RefSeq and is a predicted model, not a curated record.
UGCCAUAAAGUUCAACGAGCUGCGCAAUUUUGAGCAGCGUGAAGUUGGCUGCACAGCGUUGCCAGAUUCUUGGUAAACAACAAAUGCCGCCAAAAUAGCUGUAAUGUAUCAUAAAUUAAAUUGUGAUGUGGUUUUAUUUAAUUCGUGUUUGCAAAGGCACAUAAUAAGGAUUUGAGUUGAAAAGUGUCUGGGUAAAAAUAUUUGUUUGACAGAGCUAUAAUAUAGCUAGUACUGCUUAUUAAAGUGCGUUCACAGCUGUUGCCCCGACAACCAAAAAGCGUACACAAAAAUAUUUAGCAAAACAGAAAAACUCAAUUAUUAUAAAAAAAAGCAGCAAUAUGACCAAUAAGCCGACAAUUUGCUUUGAUAUAUCAAAAAAUGAACGCUUUCAAAUAACGGACAACUAUAAGAUGCUGCAUCGCAAGCUGAAGCCGCACUGGAAUGUCGAACAAAGCGAUGUCGAGCUGAACCAUGAAUCUUUGACGCGCUCCAAGAUCUUUGUGCUGGCAGGACCACAAGAUCGCUUCACCGAGGAGGAGUUCGAUGCGCUCAAGGAGUACGUGGAUCAGUCCGGCGGCAGCUUGUUGGUGCUGCUCGGCGAAGGCGGCGAACAGGAGUUCAAUACGAAUGUCAACUUCUUUCUGGAGCAAUACGGCAUCUACAUCAACAACGACAACGUUGUGCGUCCGCAUUACUACAAGAACUUUCAUCCCAAAGAGUGCAUUGUGGGCGGCGGCGUUGUCUGCGAGUCCAUGUGGCGGCAUCUGCUCAAGCUGGACAUCGAGAAGGUGGACUACGAUUUCAGCGAUGAGAAGUACAAGAUACACUUUCAGUAUCCAUACGGGGCUACCCUAAAUGUCUCCGAGCCGGCCAAUGUGCUGCUAACAACCGGACCCGUUGCCUACCCCUUCAAUCGUCCACUGGCUGGUUACUUCAGCAAUGCCAAGGGUGGCAAGAUAUUGGCCCUGGGCAGUGGCUAUAUAUGGCACGAUAAGUAUCUGCAGGACAAGACCAACGAUGCCCUGCUGGAGUAUAUGCUGCAGCUGCUCGGCACUAGCGAGAUAAGCUAUACGCAUUUGGACUUUAACGAUGUGGAGCUAAACGACAACAAGCACUUCACGGAUUUAGCUUUCCUUGCCGAUAUGCCCAAGGCCUGCCUGAUCGACUCCAUUGGCACGGAGAUGCCCGCGGAUUUUAAGCAAAUGUUCGACAUGACCCUCUGCUCGCUGAGCAAUCGUUUGCUGAAGGAUGUGAUCGAUACGUACGAGCAGUUGCAUGUCAAUUACGAACCGUUGCGCAUUAUUAAGCCGCAAUUUGAGAUACCGCUGCCGGCGCUGCAAUUGGCCACAUUCCCGCCAAUUUUCAGUGAGCCGCCGGCGCCGCCGCUGGAGUUGUUCGAUCUGGACGAGACCUUCAGUCCGGCACGCACACAGCUGUCGCAAAUAACUGGGCAGUGCCUGCAGGCGCUGCAGUCCAAGGAGUCGUCACGGCGUGCGCCCAAUCAGCGCGAGCUCGAGAACUAUGUGAAGGAGUGUGCGCGCAUCACGGCCAUCAUCAGGGAGCAGCAGGAGAUGCCCGCCCGCGAAAUACUCAACAUUGUGGCGCGACAGAUAACCAGCUAUGCGCCCUAUGCGGAGGACUAGACUCUAGCAGAUACAACAACAACAACAACAAAUAUCACGGCAAGCAACAACAAGCUGUGGAAGUGAAAGGGCUAGAGGAGCACAGACACACACACCAACGCUCGGAAAGAAUGUAACAAUCAAUUAACAGGUUAAACGUCCCAAAACAGAGCACACGGAUACCCAUGAACGCAAUCGUCUCUGCCAAAGCCAACAACAGCAGCAA